Molecule: ribosomal RNA, 426 nt
Filed under: uncultured Actinomycetes bacterium
Lineage: Bacteria; Bacillati; Actinomycetota; Actinomycetes
Description: bacterial SSU rRNA
Rfam family: Bacterial small subunit ribosomal RNA
Source: RNAcentral
GCGGCCUAUCAGCUUGUUGGUGAGGUAAUGGCUCACCAAGGCGACGACGGGUAGCCGGCCUGAGAGGGCGACCGGCCACACUGGGACUGAGACACGGCCCAGACUCCUACGGAAGGCAGCAGUGGGGAAUAUUGGGCAAUGGAGGGAACUCUGACCCAGCGACGCCGCGUGCGGGAUGAAGGCCUUCGGGUUGCAAACCGCUUUCAGCAAGGAAGAAGCGAAAGUGACGGUACUUGCAGAAGAAGCACCGGCUAACUAUGUGCCAGCAGCCGCGGUAAUACAUAGGGUGCAAGCGUUGUCCGGAAUUAUUGGGCGUAAAGAGCUCGUAGGUGGUUCGUCACGUCGGAUGUGAAAAUCUGGGGCUUAACCCCAGACCUGCAUUCGAUACGGGCGAGCUAGAGUGUGGUAGGGGAGACUGGAAUUCCU